GGUAACAGGUGCCCCCCUGGUUCUUGAUGCCGCACAGAUUGCUUCGACCCCUGGGUGGAGGUGGCUCAUCUCCCACCUUUGUAACUCUCCCCCUGGAGGGAUUCGCAGAGAAGUCUUCCUCCUCCUCUUCCUCGAAAAGAUUCCCAAACAUGUCUUCGUAGAUGGUGGAGUUGAUGGCAUACUGGCUUGGGCCGUUUCCUUGGAGUCUGUGUCCGUUUGCAACAACCAAGAAGACUCGACUGCCAAUCUGAAACAUUUCCCAGUCUGUGGCACAGAACGUCUAGAAUGACAGUGAGAGAGGAACCAUCCUUAAGAGAUAUAGAUCUCAUCAGAGGAAAUCAAACUCGAGCUAGGGAGAUGAUGAAUGGCAGGGAAAUCAUGCAGAAAAUGCAACAUAUACCUUAACUGUCUGGAACACCUGAAAGCUCCCGUUGACCCAAACGUAGAUGACAGAGUCGACAGAUGUGGUCACUCCAUCAAAGGCAUUUGCAACCACCAGAAAAUGGUACGGUCCCACUGUGAAAAACUCCCAGUCGUACGCUCCUGAGGUCGGCAGCAUCUGGUGAACCCCAAAGGACUUUGUCAACUUGUUCCAUUUGUAAAUCACGCUGUCUAUAGUGUGAUUGUUAUCACCUAGGAGACAAACCAGGUGGAGCGGGAGUCAACAGGACGUUUUAAUAUUUUUCUGAUUUCAUGCCAGGAAUUUAUGACGUUGAUCGGCAGUUAUUUCAUUGAUGUUUAGUUAUUACCUUUUCUGUGAUUGGCCACAGCAAGAUAAGUUUGCUGGUUGAUGUUAAAGGCCUCCCAGUCCCGAGCACAGUGGGUCUGCAGAGUCAGAAACUGCACAAACUUCUUUCUUCUUUUGCUCCACUUGUAAAUCACAGAGAAGUCAGUCUCUGAUUCUUUGUUAAAAUGCUUGUCCGGCCCUCCUCCAGAGUUAGACACCACUAGGUAUAUCUAAGUUGCAAAACACAUGUAACAUCAGUGCUUCAAACUGUUAAGACCAGAUCAUUUAUUAUACUCCAUCUCUUCCUUUCUGUCAUACCUUUUUUCCAAUGCUGAAUUGUCUCCACGCCAGAGCUUCAUACGUGCUAAUGUUCUGGUAGAGCUGGAAACCUGUGUGAGUCCACAGAUACACAGCAGAUCCGGAGGCUGGUGACCGAUGAGCCAUAGCAGCCAUCAGGCCUGUGCCAGGUACCUGGAACACCUGGAGCGAGAUAGAGAACCAAAAACUAUUAAACAUUGCCCCCUUAUGGACAGCUAUAUUGGUUAGAAAAGGUAACAACAGGAUGUUGAGCAGCACAAGAUCUCAUACAACAUUGUACGAACGUAAGGAACAUUUAUUCUGCUAAUCCAGGAGAGAACGCCGCUGAAGCCAGAUCUGUAAAUAGAGCUGUCAAUCAAAAGAUCACUUCCCCUCUUUCUGGCAUCAAUUAACUAAUUAAAAAAUAAUUUCAACAUUUGAUCGUCAAUAAGAUUGAUAAGAACUAACUGUCAUGAAAGAAAGUGUGUACGAAAAAAGUUUGUUUGGCCCAUGUCCCAUCUGUUAGAAUGGUGGUGGCAGGCUUAAUAACCUUAAUUUCAGCCAAUCACCAGGGGCUUUAAAUAUUUUGGCUUUGCUUCUGAGGAGCUGUCAUGCCAUUCAUCUUUUAUACAGUCUUUUGUUGAAAAAAGAAGUACAGCGGUAUAGACGUCUGUGAGUAGAUAACCAACCCACACCCUUCUGCCUCUAAAAGACCAAGAUGGCAGCCAAAUUUCCAAACUAGAACGCCAACCAGUGGUUGCUGCCACACUGGCCUUUUCAGUACAGUAUGACCACUUGUCCAGCUGAAUUUCUCCUUUUUACUGUAUUGCUAUUAUUUUGUAACCCCUUGAUGGGUUUUAAUACCAAUGAAUGUGUAUUUUUAAACAAGGUUAGGGGAUACCUCUAUGUCAUGUGUCUCUGAGCUGGUGGUGAGGACCUGGUGUUCCAACACAUAGUCCAGUCGUUUAUGAUCUGAGUAGAGAAAUGAGGAUUCUGUCAAUGUCAAACCUAAACUUCUGAUCAACUUGCAACAAGGAGAUGACUGGAAGUUCGAUUCUUACCCUCUAGCACUGCAAUCCACACUGAUCCAUCACAGAGGUAGAGGCCUUUCUUGAGUGGAUUGAACCACAGCUGACCUUGUAACUGCUCUGAGCACGACCGCUGCAGCCCCACAGACACUCGUUCUUCUGUUUCUGAUCACAACACAGACAAGAAGAUGAUCAAAGACAAAAGGAAGCAGAAUGACACACAUAUAUAAAAGCUGAUGUUAUGUUGUGCUUCAUGUUGAAUGAAAUUAAAGUACUUGUCUUCAAGUUACCAUAGGAAGUCACAUGGUUGUCACCUUUACUCUCUAUUACAGGCAGGUCUAAGAGAAGUGGUGGCACCGACAGCUCUGCUAGUUGAGGGUCAGAAGAAGGGCAGACA
Long non-coding RNA from Notolabrus celidotus (New Zealand spotty), 2449 nucleotides. RefSeq lists it as uncharacterized. The transcript is spliced from 4 exons. NCBI's taxonomy places the organism in Eukaryota, Metazoa, Chordata, Actinopteri, Labriformes, Labridae. The record is from RefSeq and is a predicted model, not a curated record.